Molecule: transfer RNA, 64 nt
Filed under: bovine gut metagenome
Rfam family: tRNA
About the family: Transfer RNA (tRNA) molecules are approximately 80 nucleotides in length. Their secondary structure includes four short double-helical elements and three loops (D, anti-codon, and T loops).
Source: RNAcentral
CAGUAGCUCAGUUGGUUAGAGCACAUGACUGUUAAUCAGGGGGUCGUUGGUUCAAGCCCAUCCU